GAUUUGGUUAAGGUUUGUUUAGGUUUUGUUUAUGGUUUGGAUAGGAUUUGGUUAGGAUUUGACUAGAAUUUGGUUAAGGUUUGUUUAGGAUUUGACUAGAAUUUUGUUAAGAUUUAUUUAGAAUUUGAUUAGAAUUUGAUUAAGAUUUGUUUAGAAUUUGAUUAGGAUUUGUUUAGGAUUUAUUUAGGAUUUGUUUAGGAUUUGAUUAGGAUUUAUUUAGGAUUUAUUUAGGAUUUGACUAGGAUUUAUUCACGAUUUGAUUAGGAUUUGUUUAGAAUUUGGUUAGGAUUUGUUUAGGAUUUGAUUAGGAUUUGUUUAGAAUUUGAUUAGGAUUUGCUUAGGAUUUGUUUAGGAUUUAGUUAGGAUUUAUUUAGGAUUUGACUAGGAUUUAUUUAGGAUUUGUUUAGAGUUUUUUUAGGAUUUGGUUAAGGUUUGUUUAGGAUUUGGUUAGGAUUUGUUUAGGAUUUGACUAGGAUUUAUUUAAGAUUUGAUUAAGAUUUAUUUAGGAUUCGAUUAGGAUUUGUUUAGAAUUUAUUUAAGAUUUGAUUAAGAUUUUUUAAGGAUUUGGUUAGAGUUAAUUUAGGAUUUGUUUAGAAUUUGUUUAAGAUUUGACUAAGGUUUAGUUAAGGUUUAUUUAGGAUUUGAUUAGGAUUUAUUUAAGAUUUAGUUAGGGUUUAACUAGGAUUUGAUUAAAUUUUGAUUAAAUUUUGACUCGGAUUUAAUUAAGAUUUUUAUUUUAAUAUUUUAUUAAGGUUU
RNAcentral lists this long non-coding RNA (756 nucleotides) under Physcomitrium patens. Its description in RNAcentral is "long non-coding RNA (PPAT_LNC014004)". The record is from RNAcentral. Lineage: Eukaryota; Viridiplantae; Streptophyta; Bryopsida; Funariales; Funariaceae.